This 804-nucleotide ribosomal RNA is filed under the name Occidozyga cf. laevis KU 302281. RNAcentral describes it as "partial large subunit ribosomal RNA". It matches the Rfam family "Bacterial large subunit ribosomal RNA", at positions 1542 to 2571 of the family's 2925-position model. The record is from RNAcentral. Lineage: Eukaryota; Metazoa; Chordata; Amphibia; Anura; Dicroglossidae.
ACCACUUAUUACUGCCAACCCAUUAACAGUAUUGAAUAAUUUCAUAAAUUAUGAAAACUACCAUGCUAGAACUAGUAACAAGAAAAUGAAUUUCUCCAAAGUGUAAAUAUAAACCAAAACGGACAACCCAUUGGUAAUUAACGACUCUGAACCCAUUAUAGCAAAAUAUCUAGAAAACCCUAUACUUAAUACCGUUAACCUUACACAAGAACUCUUCUGGAAAGAUUAAAAGGAAGAGAAGGAACUCGGCAAAUUUUAACCCCGCCUGUUUACCAAAAACAUCGCCUCUUGCUUAGUUAUAAGAGGUCCCGCCUGCCCAGUGUUUCAAUCAACGGCCGCGUGAUCUAAACGCGCGAAGGUAGCAUAAUAAUUUGUUCUUUAAAUGAGGACUUGUAUCAAUGGCAUCACGAGGGUUAUACUGUCUCCUCUCCCCAAUCAGUGAAACUAAUCUCCCUGUGAAAAAGCAGGAAUAAAAACAUAAGACGAGAAGACCCCAUGGAGCUUAAAACAAGGCAGCAAUUCAAUAACAAAAUCAGAACAAUCUUAAGCCCUGUAUGCCAGUUUUAGGUUGGGGUGACCACGGAGCAAAGCAAAGCCUCCACAACGAGAAGGGAUUAUUCCCUUACCCAAGAGACACGCCUCUAAGAAUUAUUAAAAUAACGUCUAAUGAUCCGAUUAUCGACCAAUGGACCAAGUUACCCUGGGGAUAACAGCGCAAUCCACUCUGAGAGCUCCUAUCGACGAGUGGGCUUACGACCUCGAUGUUGGAUCAGGAUAUCCCAGUGGUGCAGCCGCUACUAAAGG